GGGGUAGCCGCGCACUAGAGGGGAGUCACGGCGUUCCUUUUUUUUAUUCCACUCCCCCCCCCUUUUGUGUUACCAGGGCGCAUGCGCGCGGGCUCCAUUGUAGAGGCGGUGACUGGUCCCGGGGAGUGUUGACAGCUCGGGCGGAAGCGGGAGCUCCCUUCGCCUCCUACUCCGAGUUGGCCGCGGGGAGACGCCAAGCUGGUGCAAAAUAAAACAAAAACCCUCCCCUCUUCCCUCCCUCUCCCCCAAUUCUCGUUGCAUGAACUUGGCUAAGAACAGGAAGGGAGAAGAGGCUUUGGAUGGUCUGUGCAUAGGCUUGCAGGAAAUUCAGUGUAAAUGCCCGGAGCGCACUCUGCUCUUUCCCCCAGAUACCUCUGAACUUGUUUGUGGGAUCGGGUAGAACAGUGGUUCUCAAACUGUGGCUCGGACCCCUUUGGGGGUCGAACGACCCUUUCACAGGAGUAGCCUAAGACUCUCUGCAUCAGUAUUCUCCAUCUGUAAAAUGGAUAAAUGUUAGGGUUGGGGGUCACCACAACAUGAGGAACUGUAUUAAAGGGUUGCGGCAUUAGGAAAGUUGAGAACCAUUCUGGCUUAACAACACAACCUUGUGCAGGUUUAUUAGUGAAGCUGGUGUUGUCCAUGGUGGGGUUUGGCCCUGAUGCUCAGGAUCGCAGCCCUGUUCUUGAUGGUUCGAUUCCACGAUUUGGUCAGCGGAUGCUUAUUCUUGUUGGCAACCUCCUACCCCCCACCCCCCGGCAUGAAAUGACGAAAAUAAAGAGGCAAAGCAGAAAAGGAGUGAGGUGGGGGACAUGAAAAAAUGGUGGACCAGGCGCUGAGGGGAACUUGGGCGACAGCGCUGAGGCAGGAAAAACGGCCAGGCUUUUUGAA
Long non-coding RNA from Sphaerodactylus townsendi, 888 nucleotides. RefSeq lists it as uncharacterized. The transcript has 2 exons. The record is from RefSeq and is a predicted model, not a curated record. Lineage: Eukaryota; Metazoa; Chordata; Lepidosauria; Squamata; Sphaerodactylidae.